Molecule: ribosomal RNA, 643 nt
Filed under: uncultured bacterium
Lineage: Bacteria
Description: bacterial SSU rRNA
Rfam family: Bacterial small subunit ribosomal RNA
Source: RNAcentral
CGCGGCCUAUCAGCUUGUUGGUGGGGUAAUGGCUCACCAAGGCGACGACGGGUAGCCGGCCUGAGAGGGCGACCGGCCACACUGGGACUGAGACACGGCCCAGACUCCUACGGGAGGCAGCAGUGGGGAAUAUUGCACAAUGGGCGAAAGCCUGAUGCAGCGACGCCGCGUGAGGGAUGACGGCCUUCGGGUUGUAAACCUCUUUCAGCAGGGACGAAGCGUAAGUGACGGUACCUGCAGAAGAAGCGCCGGCCGACUACGUGCCAGCAGCCGCGGUAAGACGUAGGGCGCGAGCGUUGUCCGGAUUUAUUGGGCGUAAAGAGCUCGUAGGCGGCUUGUCGCGUCGACUGUGAAAACCCGCAGCUCAACUGCGGGCCUGCAGUCGAUACGGGCAGGCUAGAGUUCGGUAGGGGAGACUGGAAUUCCUGGUGUAGCGGUGGAAUGCGCAGAUAUCAGGAGGAACACCGGUGGCGAAGGCGGGUCUCUGGGCCGAUACUGACGCUGAGGAGCGAAAGCGUGGGGAGCGAACAGGAUUAGAUACCCUGGUAGUCCACGCCGUAAACGGUGGGCGCUAGGUGUGGGGGACCUCUCCGGUUCUCUGUGCCGCAGCUAACGCAUUAAGCGCCCCGCCUGGGGAGUACGG